This 254-nucleotide ribosomal RNA is filed under the name uncultured bacterium. RNAcentral's name for it is "partial 16S ribosomal RNA". It matches the Rfam family "Bacterial small subunit ribosomal RNA", at positions 524 to 776 of the family's 1533-position model. The record is from RNAcentral.
UACGUAGGGUGCGAGCGUUAAUCGGAAUUACUGGGCGUAAAGCGUGCGCAGGCGGUUCGUUGUGUCGGCGGUGAAAGCCCUGGGCUUAACCUGGGAAUGGCCGUCGAAACUGGCGAACUGGAGUGUGGCAGAGGGGGGUGGAAUUCCGCGUGUAGCAGUGAAAUGCGUAGAGAUGCGGAGGAACACCGAUGGCGAAGGCAGCCCCCUGGGCUGACACUGACGCCUCAGGCACGAAAGCGUGGGGAGCAAACAGG